AAUAAUCUGAGCCCACCUACUUUAUACGGUGAAAAUCGGCUUGUUUAUCCUCUCCAAAAUCACGGUACAAUUUAGUCGGGCGCUCUCUCCUUCCUUUCCAAACGCAGCCGCUCUCUUUUCUCCAGGUUCCCCUCCCUCUGUUCUUCUUCUUUGUUUCCCCUCCCUUUGUAAUUCCCCCUCCUUCCCACAAAUCCCAUAACCCAAUUCCUCCGCCAGCUAUCCAACUACCCCGAUGAUUUUCGAUGACGCUGCAUCAAUCAAUCCCGGUCACAACACACUUCACAGAGUUGGACAACCCGACGGAGACGGUAGCCCACUGCAAAUCUCCUCGGUAACACCCAUCGAUUAUGUUCCGCCGUUGCUCUCUUCUUCACCAUUAUUGCCAGCAAUGGCAAUUUCUCCUAUCAAGGCACAUUUGAACGAUUUGUUGGCAACGACAAUUCCAACCAGCAUGCAAGGUUUUGUUUUUCCUCUAAGAAACGCAGGAACCACCAAAAUUGCAGCCCUCUUUCCACUUGCAGAGCAACACACCAAUGAUUCCAUCAACCUUAAGGAGUAUGGAAAUUACUAGAGCUUCAACUCAAAGAUUAUACGCCUCUGUAUGCUUCCCUCAAUGCAUACGAACACCACAAAGCAUAGACAUGAGGUAUUGACAUCCUUGGUUUUCAAUUUUACAAAAUGGAAGGACAAAUGGUGUUGGAUUUUGAAGUUUAUUUUGCCAUAUUAUACUAAUGUUAUUCUAAUCAUAUCUGAAGACUUCUUGACUAAUAAAUGUGGAUGGGUUAAUUGGUAUCUUGUGGGAAAAUUUUUGAAAAAAAAGAUUGUUAUGCA
This is a long non-coding RNA of Pyrus x bretschneideri (Chinese white pear), 831 nucleotides long. RefSeq lists it as uncharacterized. The record is from RefSeq and is a predicted model, not a curated record. The transcript has 2 exons. Lineage: Eukaryota; Viridiplantae; Streptophyta; Magnoliopsida; Rosales; Rosaceae.